Molecule: long non-coding RNA, 6621 nt
Filed under: Gallus gallus (chicken)
Lineage: Eukaryota; Metazoa; Chordata; Aves; Galliformes; Phasianidae
Source: RNAcentral
GGUUUCUUAUUCAUGAGCUACACUUAGAUCCACACAGUACAUUUAUUUUUAGGGACAACUAAAGUUCAUUUAAUAACUCAUUUGAACAUGCUGAGUAAAAGCUCGACUCUGCUGGAACAUCAGUGGAGUCAGACACAGGUAUCCAUCUGCCUCAGCAAGAGGGCAUCAACAAAUUGGAGUGGGGCAGAGAAGAAAGCUGCUCCUUGAUGCAAGAAGAAGCUGUGUCUAACCUAUGGCUUGAACACUAGGCAAAGACUCCACAGGUCUUUCCUCUCAUCCAUGAAGCAACAGUAACCUGUAAAACAGUGCAUCUUUUUAGUGAAUAGUGGAGUGAUGAUGUGCUACAUUGCCAAGGCACUAAACAGAAGGAAGGCAGUAACUUUGAAAGAAAGCACCAUACCUUAAGGAUCUCACCAUCAAAAUUCACAUUCUUCAGUCCAUGUAUUGGAGCUUCCACAAUAACUGUUUUUCCAUUUUUAUAAAUUUUAAUAUUGUCUGUAAAAAGUAAUGGAGAAAAUGAGUAGCACAAAGUACAUCAUUUUCCUUCACAAUUACCAUUGUUCUGCUGCAGUCAGAAGGUUUGGAAUUGUUGAUGUUUUGCUUUGUUUUGUUUUGUGGAGAGAUCAAAAAGAGAAGAAACAUUCAAUUCAUUUGUGAAAACAUUCUACUGUGGUCUCUUGUAGUUGGAACUUACUUUUGUAUCCAGUCUAUUAAGUCUUGAAAUGAAAAUGAUAUUGGUGGUUCUCCAGAUAAAUAACUGGCCUGAAGCAUGUUAACUGUGACUGUAACAAGUACACUUUUUGUAAACGAGAACCAGUCUUGGACAGAAACCAUUUCUUAUAUGUAUACUGCUUUACCUCUUAGUUAUACCAAGGAAAAGUAAGUGUGUAUCUGCUAUGGGAAAAACAGAAUUAUUAAGCAAUACAAAUAUUGAGAUGAUCUCUAGUUUUUCUUUGAAUUAAUCCCAUUUGUGUUUUCUUAACAGUGUGAUGUUUCUGUGAAGCAUAUAAAAAACAGACUUGAAGACACUUGGUUUCUGAAUCAGUCCUAGAAAUGUGGGUAUGAAAGCUCACCUUUUUCAUACUCAGAAACUCCACUGUCUGAUAGUACUGAUUCUUUAUUGCAUGUCACGAGCAGAGAUGAAUCUGCUGCAGGACAGAUUGUGAUGUUCCUAUAAGAAAAAAAAAGGAAAAAAAAAAAAGAAUAAACUAGUGGUUAAUUUGAAAUCUAGGGUAGAGAUAUUUGUGAGCAAAGCUAGCAGAGAGCUAAUUUGAACAUUUGGACUGUGAAUGAGUGACUGAGCUGCUUUCAUUUCAAAAUGCAAAAUUUAUUGGACCUUUGGAUGCUGAAAUUCAACCUCUGAAGAAAAGGUUCUGUGGGAACUUACGGAGCAGGUUAUAAGAUCCUGACUGCAUCACUGAAUAUGAGGAAAAUGAAACCAAUGACUGUCUGAUGAGGAUUCUGUAAAUCCUCAAAUAUACAACUAUAAACUAGUUGCACCCAAACUAGACAUCUCCCUUCCCAGACUAACUCCUUGAAGUUUUUGUAUCUAAUUAUUGAGCCUUCAGAAUAAAUCACACUUACGCUGAACUUGUAUUUAUGUGAACCUCUCUUGACAAAGACUGGUGAUCAACUUUUCUUGUAGUAAUGAUGAAUUUUGGAUGUUCGGUACAAUCUUGGGCCACUACCACAUUGCAGCUUUUAUUGAAAGAACAGGUAAAGCUCAUGCGAUCAAAUGUUUUGAAAUCUCCCUUACUGACUUCACAUGUGGCUGCAAAACAAAACCAGAAAAGAAAUGGCAGAUGGGACAAUGGCAUGGUGUGUUGCUGCAAAGUACUGAAGGCUGCCUCUGUGAGAUUGGACUACACAGCAAAUAGAAAAAGAACUUCAACAUCUCCUUGUCAGAAUCUUUCGGUGCUGCCAGUCUGUAAGAAUAGGAUAUCACUACAGAAUUGCUAAUAGUUGUAGACUAUAUUAGUAGUGAUUUUGAUGACAUGCCUCAAACCUCAAGACAGUAUAGUGACUAAAACUUACUAAUGUCUUCAAAAACUAAAAGUAGUAACCGUUAUAGAAACUAAUUCACAUUUGCCACGGAAGUGUUAGAUACCAAUAACUUAAUACUCACAUGAUUUUUUUUUUAAUAAAAUAAUAAACAUGGCAAAAAAUCAAUUAUUUAUCUUACACCCAUCAGAUAAUGCCUCUCAACACAGAGAUGGCACCUUCUUAGAAGGGGCAAAAGAGGACCUCUACAGCUUGCAGAUAGGAAUGAUUCCUGAACUCUGAAGAUUUACAUCAGUUUGAAGUCUCUUCAUCCACCUGCUAGUAAAUGUACUUCUAAGUGAUAAAAUGAACUGCUGAAAAAGCAGAGUUGGAGACACUAAGCUUCCCUCUAGAAGACCAAUAUGGGGAAAGACAAGUCCCAGUUGUCUCAGAGGAUGGAUAUACAAACAUUGCUUCCUCAUGAGACAAUCAUAUAAGUAGUACUUACAUUGAUCUUCUUGUGCUAUUUGUGAAGCUAUUUCAGGAAGGAAAUUCCAGGCAGUGAUAUCUCUAGUCUCAUAUGAUGAAGAUGAUGGCCCUAAGGGCAAAGUGAAUGGCACUCGGAGUCCCUGAUAGUAAAGUGUUACCUGAAAAAGUAGAAAUGAAAAAAAAAACAUUAAGAUAUAUUGAGCCAUAUUGCUUGUGAUAUCACUGCAAAGAGACAAACAAAAAAGACAUCCUGGAAAAAUAUCUUGAAGAUACACAAUCGCAGUUGUGUUAGUUUCUCUAGGAUAUGCCCAAAUCUCAGGUUGUUCUUAGCAAUCACUCUCUCUUCUGGUCUCAGUUUCUGACUUUUAUGAGAAAUUGUUAAGAACAUUAGAAAGUAACCUAUGUAGAUGAAGUUUAAAUGAUAAUUAUGUGACUUUUGAAAAAAGUGAUUUAAAAAUUAAAGUAACUAAUCUGAUGGAUGUGUUUGGCAAAGAGAACAGUGUCUAUUAAGGGCUGAAAAAUGGCAUGAUGUGCCAUGGUGGUAAGAUUUCUUACUUUUGUACAUACAAAAGACAUUUACCAAGACCAUCAACUUAAUGACUAAUGUUUCUACUUCUUCAUUAUCAUGUAAUAAAGAUCCUGCAAUUCUGAAGCAUAACGGAAGGUUAAAGACACACUAAUUUCUCUGUUUAUGAAUAGCGAGCUGUUAUUAAUUUGCCACAGAUCCAUAGGGGAAAACUUUCAAAGCAGUGCACAGGGAUUUGGUGGACAAGGACCAAUUAAUCAGUGGGAUUCUGCAGAUCCAGCCUGUGCAAGCUGCUCUGAGAGUGUAACUAACUGCUUCAGUUUAGUUAAAGCUGAGUUAAAGCCACAGAAUUAUCUGUGGCUGUCGUAACUUGCUCAGAUCUGUCUUACAGAGUGUGGUCAACUGCAGCUGUGGGACUGAAGCACAAACAUAAUUAGAUGCUGCACUAGGCUGCUGUGGAGUGCAAGAUGUUCUCAAGGUCUCCAUUAUCUGCUCUCAGGCCCAUAUACAUUUCACAGAACUGUCAGGUAGGGUAAAAAAAAGCUGUAAGUGUAGAGCAGUCAUAUUUGAAGCAGUCUGGGCCUAACCACUGUUCUCAGCAUGGAAAUAAAGUAUUUCACUAUAGAGUUUUCUACUUUUGCUUGUCCUAUGUCACCAAGGCAGUACAAAAUCAAAGACUGCAUAUUUCAGUACUCAUGUUAUCAGUAGUAUCACAGCUCCUCUAAAAAUAUACAAUUAAUUUUAAUUUUUUUAAUAUAUAAGUAUCAAAACAAGUAAGUUGAAAAUCCAUUCAGUGUAGGAAAAAAGAAAAUAAAAUUGACACAUACCCCAGGAACUUUAAUUACUGUAUCAAUUGAUCGUGGAGAUGUUGCCACUGCCCGUACAAUAAGUUCACGAGAUGGGUUUCUCUGAUGCGCCUCUGAGAAGCCCAACACAAGUGCCACGCCAGGAACAUACCGCAUGAGUCUAGAGAUAAAUAAGAUGUGACAAACUCAGCUCCAUGAGCAAAGACAGACAUUGGAAGGUAAGGAUUGCUGGCAUUUCUGAAAAAUCGGAGGAAAAAAGGGAAAACUAAGAAGUCAAAGAAAAAGUGCUUUGGGUAAAACUAAAUGGUUGAUUUUAUCCUAAGGAAACACAUUGUUUUUAUUUUUAUCAUUUUAGCAGUUUUGUAUUUUUUAUUUUUUUUUAAUACUGAAUAGAAGGACAUUUCAAAACAAAGAGGCAUUUUGAACUGGAACAUCUAAUCUUUUAAUAAGGGAAAUGAAAUUAAGCAUGUCAAAUUUUAAAUAUUUGGAGGAUGCCUUUUAAUAUGAAACAUGUGGGGGAACUAGAAGAUGUUCAAAGAAUGCUGCUGUGCCCCUGAACUUGUGUUUUCUCCAAAAAUAUCUGUGUCCAAAAAAUCAUCCAUUUUUUUCAGUGCAUUUAUAAUGGCAACUAAUGUAAAAAAGGCAACACAACAACUUAGGAAAGAGCAAAUUACAUACGCUGUGCUUGUCUUUUUUAUCCAGGAAGGAAUAAUUCCCCAUUGCACCUUCAGCUGCACGGCUAGCUUCCUUGCCAUUUGGCCUGUGGUAGCCCAGGCUGCUAUCCUGUAGUCUCGGCACUCCUUGCCCCAUCUCAUUCUAGCCUUUAUGGACAAGAAAACAGACACCCAAAUUUCAGAAAAGAAUCACAGAAACAUCAUUAGUAAUUUCAAAAUAUAUUUUUUUCUUCUUUCCUGAAACUUCACAUUGAUCCUUUAUGUUUCCGUGUCUUUCUUUCACUCUAGAUAGGCUAAUGUUUGCCAUAAUUUCCUGAGAUUUCCUUAAACUUGGUAAGCUAAUAAUCAGUAUAUGUUUUGUUCUAGAAGAAGAUUGGACUAAAAUGUCUAUUACUCUUCUGUAGUACUUCCUGUAUUGAACCUGUACAUUUUGAAUGCUGAAAAAACAGGAUGAAUUAGUUAACUGCUGCUGCAAAAAGUAGAAUUUUUGUAAAUUGUUAUCAAAAAAUUUGUUUCCUUUAUAGGAAACAAAUAUUCUGGAAGCACAGCAUAGGAAGGAGUGAAAAAAGAUAAGACCUAUAAUUUCAUCUGUGUUUUCUCAGGUGUCAACCCAUUAUCUAACCUUAAUUUUUCUGUAAGCUCAUAUAAAUUCCAAGAAAUAGAAUGUUUCAAAUGCCUUUGAGUAAUUGAUCUUACAAAACAAGUUAUAGAGAGAAAAACAGCUUGAUUCCCAGAAAAGCAAACUUGUAUUGAAUGAUAAAUAAUAGGUUGACAGAAAUAUUCUAAAACUUUUAAAAUACUUCUAUAAAUAACAUUUUGAUGCAUCUUGAAAAUCAAAAUUUUGGGGGGAAUCAGAUUUUGAGGUGGCUGGUUUUUGUUUUGUGUUUGUUUUUGUUUUAGUUCAAAAGGAGAGUGAAAUUAUGAACAUUUUCUGAUUUUUUACUAAAAUUGGAGCACAUUUCAAAAUACUUAUGUAUUCCCUGUUUGGACUUUCUAAUCAGCAGGUGCAUUGUGCUUAUUUAAAAAGCUGUGGGCCUUUUAGAUGUCUCGCUUGGCAGAGCUGCCUGUGUACUUACCUGUGCUUUCAGAGGCAGUAUUACAGCAUCAGCACAUGCUUUCCAAUUGGUUUCAGCCAGCUGAACCACAACUAGUUGCACAUCAACUUUGGCAGCAUCGGAACGAACAUAUGCUGUAGCUUGAUAACCUUGAUUUCUGUUGUCACUUCUUACUGCCUGUGCCACAAUCGUAAUGCCAGGUGGAAUUACGUCUCCCAGGAAGUUGCGCUGAAAAACAACCCCCAACCAUCUGUGCUUAAGUAUUUCAGUGUAUUCACUGGAGAGCCUACAGUCCAGUUUAUGUAUGCUGAUAGCAAGUAGCAUCCUUCACCCUUCAGAAGUUUAGUUUAUGAUACAUCUUAUCUUUAUUUCCAAUGAUUAAUAAUGAUUUUGGUUUCAGUCUUAGUUAUUUCAUUAACAAGAGAAAUUUUCAAAGGAUGUGAUUGUUUUCAUACAGGAUCCAAGACUCUUCUAUACUAUCAUUUUACACUUAAGAUUUUGUGCAUUACUGCGAUAUUCAGAAUAGCUGUCUACAUACAUACUGGAUAUCUUCAUAGAGUUAUACACAUUGACAGCGUAUUCUACUAUCCAACCGCUUCUUCAAACAAAUUAUUCUGAAAUUCUCUGUAGUGGCAGAGUUCCCAUAGACAUUUUCUGCAUUUGCAGAACUACCUGGUACUCAGUACAGUUCCAGAAUACCAAGUGUGUAUUAAAGAUAAGGAUGAUCACUGCCUAGUGGGACUUUACAUUUCCUAAUCAGUAAUGACCACAGGCAUUAUGAUUUUAUUUAUACUCAGCAUGCACUCAUGACCACUAGGAGGAAUUAAGUUGGUGGCUUUUUUUGUUUGUUUGUUUAUUUUUCAUUCUUUAACUAAAACUUAUAUCCUUCUAACUUUCAUUUUUACCUAGAUUCUAAAUUUUUUUCAACUCUGGAGUUUCAUAAGAAAAAAGAACUUCUUUCCCCCUUUAAUUUAUAUCCCCUUUCCCUUUAUUUUCUUCAAUCAUUUCCUGAUCCAGGUGUUUAUGUACAGCUAAUGCCUUUAGAAAUUGAGGACAACGUAAUACAGAAAUCAACAAACAAAACUCCAAGG